GGGGGCACCUUAAAGUUGCACCGGGAAUCAGGCUCGUCCAUGAAUAAGAAGGUGUAGAUGAUCAUCCCAGCUCGUCCUCACUAUGAGACUGGACUGUCCUGCCUCAUCGUCCUGCUGGUGACUCUUCCUCUCUCUGCCCUGCUGUCCUCUGGCUGCGUCUUCUGUCUCUUCCACAGAGCAGGUAAAACAGUGGGUGAUGAUCCCAAGACAAGCAACAAUGAAGACAGAGUGAA
RNAcentral lists this long non-coding RNA (233 nucleotides) under Lepisosteus oculatus (spotted gar). RNAcentral's name for it is "lncRNA (ENSLOCG00000022779.1)". Lineage: Eukaryota; Metazoa; Chordata; Actinopteri; Semionotiformes; Lepisosteidae. The record is from RNAcentral.